GGGCUGGCCAUAGCUCAGCAGUUCCUUCGACUACAGAGUGAUCAAAUUACCUUCUCUGAGGCUAGUUCAAGACCCUCGGGCACUCUCCAGUCCUCCA
Molecule: unclassified non-coding RNA, 97 nt
Organism: Capra hircus (goat)
Lineage: Eukaryota; Metazoa; Chordata; Mammalia; Artiodactyla; Bovidae
Gene: Vault
Rfam family: Vault RNA
About the family: This family of RNAs are found as part of the enigmatic vault ribonucleoprotein complex. The complex consists of a major vault protein (MVP), two minor vault proteins (VPARP and TEP1), and several small untranslated RNA molecules.
Source: Ensembl